RNAcentral lists this transfer RNA (76 nucleotides) under Puniceicoccales bacterium. RNAcentral's name for it is "tRNA-Ala". It matches the Rfam family "tRNA". Rfam says of the family: Transfer RNA (tRNA) molecules are approximately 80 nucleotides in length. Their secondary structure includes four short double-helical elements and three loops (D, anti-codon, and T loops). Lineage: Bacteria; Pseudomonadati; Verrucomicrobiota; Opitutia; Puniceicoccales. The record is from RNAcentral.
GGGGUUGUAGCUCAGUUGGUAGAGCAUCUGCUUUGCAAGCAGGGGGUCGUCGGUUCGAAUCCGAUCAGCUCCACCA